Papilio machaon (common yellow swallowtail) is the source of this 322-nucleotide long non-coding RNA. RefSeq lists it as uncharacterized. The transcript has 3 exons. Lineage: Eukaryota; Metazoa; Arthropoda; Insecta; Lepidoptera; Papilionidae. The record is from RefSeq and is a predicted model, not a curated record.
AUAUUGGUCAAGUAAAACUAAACGCGUUAUAGUAAAGAUGAAAAAUUUUCCGAUUUUGAUAUAUUUUUUUAUUGCAAUCCUUAUUUGCGUUCACUUUGUUACUGCUUGUUCGGGAAAAAAUGAAGUAAAAAAGGUUCAGGAUCAACGAAGGAACAAUGCUGAAACAACAUUGUCCCCAAAAAUAAAAGAAAUCAUGUCACAGCUUAAAAACAGCAGUUUGCUAAAGAAGAAAGCAAAUUAUAAAUUGAUUCUGAAGGAGUUGAAACACAUUUUUCAUAACGAAGAAACAACUGUGUGCGCGAGAUGUAAACUAUAAAAUUUA